GAUUAAGCCAUGCAUGUCUAAGUGGAGUAUUAUAAAGCGAAACUGCGAACGGCUCAUUACAACAGAUAUAAUUUACUAGUUCUUGAUCCUAUAUGGAUAACUGCGGUAAUUCUGGAGCCAAUACAUGCAUCAAGCCUUGGCCUUCGGGUUCAGGGUGCAAUUAUUGGAGCAAAACCAGUCUCGUACUGUUUGCUAACUCUGGAUAAUUCUGCUUAUCGCAUGGUCUUGUACCGGCGAAGUUUCUUUCAAGUAUCUGCUUUAUCAACUAUCGUUGGUAGUUUAUUGGACUACCAUGGUGUUGACGGGUAACGGAGAAUCAGGGUUUGACUCCGGAGAGGGAGCCUUAGAAACGGCUACCAUGUCUAAGGAUAGCAGCAGGCGCGAAAAUUACCCAAUAUCAAAACGAUGAGGUAGUGACGAGAAAUAACGAGAUCGUUCUCUUUGAGGUCGAUUAUUGGAAUGAGUACAAUCCAGAAAUUUUAACGAGUAUCUACGAGAGGGCAAGUCUGGUGCCAGCAGCCGCGGUAAUUCCAGCUCUCGUAAUGUAUAGAAUUAUUGUUGCGAUUAAAAAGUUCGUAGUUGGAUUGUCACGAGGGCAUGGGUCCACCUUCGCGGUGCGUACUCAAUGCUCUCAUUUUGUUGGUUUUCGCGGCGUCGUUUCGGCGGCGUUCGUGAUGCCAGCAGGAUUACUUUGAACGGCUCAAGUGCUCAAAGCGAGUCUUAUGACUGAAUACCGGUGCAUGGAAUAAUGGAACAAGGUUGCGGCCGAGUUUUAUUGGUUUUGUCGGCUGAAACAA
Molecule: ribosomal RNA, 797 nt
Filed under: Bursaphelenchus crenati
Lineage: Eukaryota; Metazoa; Nematoda; Chromadorea; Rhabditida; Aphelenchoididae
Description: SSU rRNA
Rfam family: Eukaryotic small subunit ribosomal RNA
Source: RNAcentral